Molecule: ribosomal RNA, 467 nt
Filed under: uncultured bacterium
Lineage: Bacteria
Description: partial 16S ribosomal RNA
Rfam family: Bacterial small subunit ribosomal RNA
Source: RNAcentral
GAUGAACGCUGGCGGCGUGCUUAACACAUGCAAGUCGAACGGAAAGGCCCAAGCUUGCUUGGGUACUCGAGUGGCGAACGGGUGAGUAACACGUGGGUGAUCUGCCCUGCACUUCGGGAUAAGCCUGGGAAACUGGGUCCAAUACCGGAUAGGACCACUUCUUGGAUGUUGUGGUGGAAAGUUUUUUCGGUGUGGGAUGAGCUCGCGGCCUAUCAGCUUGUUGGUGGGGUAAUGGCCUACCAAGGCGUCGACGGGUAGCCGGCCUGAGAGGGUGUACGGCCACAUUGGGACUGAGAUACGGCCCAGACUCCUACGGGAGGCAGCAGUGGGGAAUAUUGCACAAUGGGCGCAAGCCUGAUGCAGCGACGCCGCGUGGGGGAUGACGGCCUUCGGGUUGUAAACUCCUUUCGCUAGGGACGAAGCGUUUUGUGACGGUACCUGGAGAAGAAGCACCGGCUAACUACGUG